This 27-nucleotide non-coding RNA is filed under the name Mus musculus (house mouse). The record is from RNAcentral. Lineage: Eukaryota; Metazoa; Chordata; Mammalia; Rodentia; Muridae.
UCCAUAAGUUCUGUGACUCUAGAGAAC